This 550-nucleotide ribosomal RNA is filed under the name uncultured bacterium. Its description in RNAcentral is "bacterial SSU rRNA". It matches the Rfam family "Bacterial small subunit ribosomal RNA", at positions 355 to 896 of the family's 1533-position model. The record is from RNAcentral.
UAGGGAAUCUUCGGCAAUGGGGGCAACCCUGACCGAGCAACGCCGCGUGAGUGAAGAAGGUUUUCGGAUCGUAAAGCUCUGUUGUAAGAGAAGAACGAGUGUGAGAGUGGAAAGUUCACACUGUGACGGUAACUUACCAGAAAGGGACGGCUAACUACGUGCCAGCAGCCGCGGUAAUACGUAGGUCCCGAGCGUUAUCCGGAUUUAUUGGGCGUAAAGCGAGCGCAGGCGGUUAGAUAAGUCUGAAGUUAAAGGCUGUGGCUUAACCAUAGUACGCUUUGGAAACUGUUUAACUUGAGUGCAGAAGGGGAGAGUGGAAUUCCAUGUGUAGCGGUGAAAUGCGUAGAUAUAUGGAGGAACACCGGUGGCGAAAGCGGCUCUCUGGUCUGUAACUGACGCUGAGGCUCGAAAGCGUGGGGAGCAAACAGGAUUAGAUACCCUGGUAGUCCACGCCGUAAACGAUGAGUGCUAGGUGUUAGACCCUUUCCGGGGUUUAGUGCCGUAGCUAACGCAUUAAGCACUCCGCCUGGGGAGUACGACCGCAAGGUUG